RNAcentral lists this ribosomal RNA (484 nucleotides) under uncultured bacterium. RNAcentral describes it as "partial 16S ribosomal RNA". It matches the Rfam family "Bacterial small subunit ribosomal RNA", at positions 29 to 507 of the family's 1533-position model. The record is from RNAcentral.
AUUGAACGCUGGCGGCAUGCUUUACACAUGCAAGUCGAACGGCAGCGCGGGCUUCGGCCUGGCGGCGAGUGGCGAACGGGUGAGUAAUGCAUCGGAACGUGCCCAGUAGUGGGGGAUAGCCCGGCGAAAGCCGGAUUAAUACCGCAUACGACCUGAGGGUGAAAGCGGGGGACCGAAAGGCCUCGCGCUAUUGGAGCGGCCGAUGUCGGAUAAGCUAGUUGGUGGGGUAAAGGCUUACCAAGGCGACGAUCCGUAGCUGGUCUGAGAGGACGACCAGCCACACUGGGACUGAGACACGGCCCAGACUCCUACGGGAGGCAGCAGUGGGGAAUUUUGGACAAUGGGGGCAACCCUGAUCCAGCCAUGCCGCGUGCGGGAAGAAGGCCUUCGGGUUGUAAACCGCUUUUGUUCGGGAAGAAAUCCUCUGGGCUAAUACCCCGGGGGGAUGACGGUACCGGAAGAAUAAGCACCGGCUAACUACGUG